AUGGAUGGUACUACAUAGUGAUCACUACCAUCAGUUUGUGAAUGUGUAGGUGUGACAUGCAGAAAGAAGAAGAAAAGUACCUGGACAGGAUUUUCCCCUUUGUCAUAAUGAAGUCCUGUCCAGUGUGCUUUAAGACCCUAAGUUGCCUCCAUAAGCACCUGAGCAGCCAGUACUUGUGACUAACAAGGAGAAGAGGAUCCUGCUCACCAUGGCCAGUGGCAGGAUUAAUAUCCGAAAGGAGUGUCCUGUCACUGGCUGUGGGUUCUAGUUGACCUGGCUGUAUGUCCACCUUGCUAAGCAGAACAGCGCUGGCCUGGAGGUGGAGCACCUGAAAGGGGAGGGUGGCCUGGCUUACCUCAGGGCCACCAACCCCCACCCGGCUCUGUCCACUUGUCUGGACCAGCAAGAAGUGGGUGACUUCAUGUCAGGAAAUACUUACUCUAGUUAUUUCUCUAAACUACGUCUAUAUUUACCGCUACAUUAUACAUUUGAACACUGCCAGGAAACAUAGAAUAAAAGGUAAAAAUCCCACUCAGGGAACAUGGUCAACAAAUAACCAUGUUAGCUGGAAUUAGCUAAAAAUAUACAUGAAGCUUUUUACUGUAAUCUGUUAUCCUUGUGUUUGUGUUGAAGUGUGUCUUGAUGUUACAUUCUUGAGUUUCUGUGUCUUCAGUGUUUCUUGUAUUUACUGGGGUGGCUGUGGAUCAGUUGGUGGAGUUGUCGCCUCUUGACCAAAAGGUUAAGGGUUUGAUCCCCAGCUGAGCAACAGGUCCGAUGUGUCCUUGGGCAAGACACUUAACCCUGAAUUGGUCCCGCUGCUACUGUGGUGAUGACAAAAUCCAGACAGCAGACGGUUGUCCCCAAACACCAGAAGAGAUUGUAACAUGUUACCCUGGAAUAACCUCAAAUUCACCCAAAAACCCCCUUUCCUGUUUGCUGAUGAGAAAACACAACUCAUUGAUUAACUGUUUGAAAGAGACUUUGCAUUGGAAUUUCAAGAAAAUGUGCUCUAGACUAUCUCAAAACUGACGUAACAGCUGUUGAACAAUCUGUCCUAACCAAUAUACUCAAUUUCUGAUAUGAAAGACUGUCUCUUCAACCCCUGAAUUGGAGAUAUAUAAUUGAGACAUCAAGAGUAACAGUUUCAUGAGUUAGAUUCCGCUACGAAUCUAUGACGGCAUUAUACAUGUAGAAAGUCUUCUUAUAUUACCUGAUGAACUUUCACUAAAUCUUACGUGGAGCACGAUUGCCCCCUAGUGGCAAGAGCGCUGCACAAAUCUGAGUUUUAAAAUUAAAUUAUAAGUUAAUUAUGUUUUGUUAUAGGAGAUGAUAUUUGAAGAUAUGAUUUUAUACUUUUCAUACUAUAUUAAUGUAUUUUUGAGAAAGUUGAAUGUUAUAACACUGGUUUUAUUGUCAUACAGGCAGAAAUUGUCUGACUGUCCUCAGGUUUGAUGUAAUGCUUAUUCAUUGCACAUUUCUUUGAAGUGUUUAAUGUCUAAGAUAAUUCUACAUGUUUUUUUUAUUUCUUCAGUUAGUGUUAGUCCCUAUUCUAUUUAUUGUUAUUUACCGAAACACACAGUACUCUGUUCACAUUAUAUUUGGCAGUAAAGAUGAUCUUGAUUAAUUCA
Molecule: long non-coding RNA, 1628 nt
Organism: Labrus bergylta (ballan wrasse)
Lineage: Eukaryota; Metazoa; Chordata; Actinopteri; Labriformes; Labridae
Source: RefSeq, a predicted model, not a curated record